AAUAUCAGUGCUAAGUUAUAAAUUAGUUUUUGGCAAUUAUUAAAGUAAACUAAUAAAUAUUUAUAAAGUUAAAAUUUAAAUAUGAAUUUUAGAACAGUAAGAGUCAGUUUUAAUUUGCAAAAUAUAUUAAGCAUACUGUCACACUAUUACAAUGUUUUACCUCAUAUUUAGGACUUGUGAAAAUAUUUUUAUAAAAAGAAAUGUUGGAACUGCUUGUUAAUUGUUAGGAAGUGUUAAAUAAUGUAGAUGACAUCAUUAUUCAAAAUCAGCGAAGAGCCGUUUAUUCGCACCAAGCCCUAGAUAUGUCUAUAAUUCCACAUAAUAUUGCAUAGCUUUGAAUAAAAAAUAACAUUGUAAAAAAGUACUAAAAGAUACGUUGGUGUUAUGUAGGUUAGAUCCAAAUCAGGCAGAGUCACGAAGAUGACACCCACGUAUAUUUGCGUCCGGUCGUCGUCGGAUGUGCGGAACUUGCUGCACUUGGUACCGUUGCAUAUGACACGCGGAACAGUCAGUCAGUCAAACUACCACAUACACGUAGUAUGGCGACGGCAUAUAAAGGUGGCAAGUGUCAAGAAGCUUCGUGCAACGCGAUGCAACGCAGGACUGUAUCGGUAUUUAUUUGAUCAUUUUCAAAUAAAUAAUUUACCGAAUAACUUGUAAGUAGAUGUGUGGAUUAACGAAUGAGAAUGAUUAAUUGAAUAAGAGAGGCAAUAAGUAAUAAUAAUAAUCUUUGUUUCACUGAAGAAUUUGGCGUCAAAGAUCGAGGAGUGGCUUCAGCGACAAAGCAUUGCCUUUAAUAAAUGAUGAUGAUAAUAAAAUUUAAAAUAAUAUAUACGUAUACGUGUAUAUAAGCAUAAACAAGCCGAAGACUGAAAAUGUGACCAAAUUUCCUGGAACGACAAUGGCCACAGGAAGUUUCCAUCAAAUGCUCCUGUAAUGUAUAAAAUCAGCUACACGUGCAGAGAUAGAGAAGAUUUUACACGUAAUGUAAACUACAUUUACGAAAGCCAGAAAAGCCAGACAGUCAACGGAACAGUAAUCGUUCAUUACAAAACGUUGUACCUUUUACGCACAGAAACAAACGAGCGCAUGCGCACAUCAAGCACAUUUGUACAGCUCCCUCGCAGUUAUAGGGCCAACGUGAACUAUCUGUGGUGAUAUACUCGACACUACCAUAAUGUGGCUGAUUUAUACAUUAAAUUAUUAGAAGGACAUAAUCAUUUUCAAACAAAAAUAAUUUUAAUAAAUAUUUAACAAACACACACUGUUUAGUUGUAUUGUAAUACACACAAUUCUAUCAUAAAUUGAUUAAUAGUAAUUUUUAAAAAUCGUUCCUUCCGAAAAGAAAUCUAUAAAUUAUUUUUUGUCAUAUUUUUUUAUUCUAAUUUUAAUA
Molecule: long non-coding RNA, 1393 nt
Organism: Daktulosphaira vitifoliae (grape phylloxera)
Lineage: Eukaryota; Metazoa; Arthropoda; Insecta; Hemiptera; Phylloxeridae
Exons: 3
Source: RefSeq, a predicted model, not a curated record